ACUACGGGGGGCAGCAGUGGGGGAUAUUGGACAAUGGGGGGAACCCUGAUCCAGCGACGCCGCGUGAGUGAAGAAGUAUUUCGGUAUGUAAAGCUCUGUCAGCAGGGAAGAAAGAAAUGACGGUACCUGACCAAGAAGCCCCGGCUAACUACGUGCCAGCAGCCGCGGUAAUACGUAGGGGGCAAGCGUUAUCCGGAAUUACUGGGUGUAAAGGGAGCGUAGACGGUUAAGUAAGUCUGGAGUGAAAGGCCGGGGCCCAACCCCGGGACUGCUCUGGAAACUAUUGAACUUGAGUGCAGGAGAGGUAAGCGGAAUUCCUAGUGUAGCGGUGAAAUGCGUAGAUAUUAGGAGGAACACCAGUGGCGAAGGCGGCUUACUGGACUGUAACUGACGUUGAGGCUCGAAAGCGUGGGGAGCAAACAGGAUUAGAUACCCCAGUAGUC
This 443-nucleotide ribosomal RNA is filed under the name uncultured bacterium. RNAcentral describes it as "partial 16S ribosomal RNA". It matches the Rfam family "Bacterial small subunit ribosomal RNA", at positions 338 to 795 of the family's 1533-position model. The record is from RNAcentral.